UACGGGGGGGGCAAGCGUUGUUCGGAAUUACUGGGCGUAAAGGGCGCGUAGGCGGCCUGCUAAGUCGGACGUGAAAUCCCUCGGCUCAACCGGGGAACUGCGUCCGAUACUGGUGGGCUCGAAUCCGGGAGAGGGAUGUGGAAUUCCAGGUGUAGCGGUGAAAUGCGUAGAUAUCUGGAGGAACACCGGUGGCGAAGGCGGCAUCCUGGACCGGUAUUGACGCUGACGCGCGAAAGCCAGGGGAGCAAACGGG
RNAcentral lists this ribosomal RNA (253 nucleotides) under uncultured bacterium. RNAcentral describes it as "partial 16S ribosomal RNA". It matches the Rfam family "Bacterial small subunit ribosomal RNA", at positions 524 to 776 of the family's 1533-position model. The record is from RNAcentral.